AACGCGAAGAACCUUACCCAGACUUGACAUACAGUGGAAGUUUGUAGAAAUAUGAAUGUCCUUCGGGACCGCUGAACAGGUGCUGCAUGGCUGUCGUCAGCUCGUGCCGUGAGGUGUUGGGUUAAGUCCCGCAACGAGCGCAACCCUUAUCGUUAGUUGCCAACAGGUAAUGCUGGGAACUCUAGCGAGACUGCCUGGGUUAACCAGGAGGAAGGUGAGGAUGACGUCAAGUCCGCAUGGCCCUUAUGUCUGGGGCUACACACGUGCUACAAUGGCCGGUACAAAAGGCAGCGAAACCGCGAGGUGAAGCAAAUCCCCAAAGCCGGCCCCAGUUCAGAUUGUAGUCUGCAACUCGACUACAUGAAGACGGAAUUGCUAGUAAUGGCAGGUCAGCAACACUGCCGUGAAUACGUUCCCGGGCCUUGUACACACCGGUACUA
This 440-nucleotide ribosomal RNA is filed under the name uncultured bacterium. RNAcentral's name for it is "bacterial SSU rRNA". It matches the Rfam family "Bacterial small subunit ribosomal RNA", at positions 958 to 1398 of the family's 1533-position model. The record is from RNAcentral.